Molecule: long non-coding RNA, 408 nt
Organism: Artibeus jamaicensis (Jamaican fruit-eating bat)
Lineage: Eukaryota; Metazoa; Chordata; Mammalia; Chiroptera; Phyllostomidae
Exons: 3
Source: RefSeq, a predicted model, not a curated record
GCGCACCGUCAGUGAAGCUCGGGUCCCCUAGGAACCCGGAGGGGAGUGGCUUGUCAGGGAUUUUUAGACAGGGAACGGAAACCGUGAAGGCAGGUGUAAUGGAAGGAAAAUACAGCUGGAACGAGCUCAGGACCCACCGUGCCAGACAAGACGCAGGGAGGGAAAAGGCAGCUAAAGGAGGGGGCGUCAAACAGGACAGGAAACACAUAGUUUCACUGGAAUUUGGAAAAGGAAGAAGUUGGAUGAUGUCAACCAGAGAUUAGCUUGAACCCUACUUCAAGGAACUCAGAAGAGCUUAAAACCACAAGAUGGAAGAACCCUGAGGCCCCAAAUAAAUCCUUGGAGGAAUGCUGCCCAGAAUUGCAUGACCAGAAAAGCCUGUGUUGGAUUUGACUUUUUUAAAUUAAA